This 1416-nucleotide ribosomal RNA is filed under the name metagenome. Its description in RNAcentral is "bacterial SSU rRNA". It matches the Rfam family "Bacterial small subunit ribosomal RNA". The record is from RNAcentral.
AGAGUUUGAUCCCGGCUCAGAAUCAACGCUGGCGGCGCGCUUAACACAUGCAAGUCGCACGAGAAAGGGAGCAAUCCUAAGUAAAGUGGCGUACGGGUGAGUAACACGUGGAUCAUCUACCUUCUAGUGGGGAAUACCUCCGGGAAACUGGAGACAAUACCGCAUAAGCUCGAAAGAGGAAAGCAGCAAUGCGCUGGAAGAGGAGUCCGCGGUCGAUUAGCUAGAUGGUGAGGUAAUGGCUCACCAUGGCGAAGAUCGAUAGCCGGCCUGAGAGGGCUCACGGCCACACUGGCACUGAAACACGGGCCAGACUCCUACGGGAGGCAGCAGUGGGGAAUCUUGCACAAUGGAGGAAACUCUGAUGCAGCGACGCCGCGUGAGUGAUGAAGCCCUUCGGGGUGUAAAGCUCUUUCGACAGGAACGAUAAUGACGGUACCUGAAGAAGAAGCUGCGGCUAACUACGUGCCAGCAGCCGCGGUAAUACGUAGGCAGCAAGCGUUGUUCGGAAUUACUGGGCGUAAAGAGUGUGUAGGCGGUGCUCUAAGUUUGGUGUGAAAUCUCCCGGCUCAACCGGGAGGCUGCAUCGAAUACUGGAAUGCUAGAGGGUGGGAGAGGUAAGCGGAAUUCUUGGUGUAGCGGUGAAAUGCGUAGAUAUCAGGAGGAACACCUGUGGUGUAGACAGCUUACUGGACCACUUCUGACGCUGAGACACGAAAGCGUGGGUAGCAAACAGGAUUAGAUACCCUGGUAGUCCACGCCCUAAACGAUGCAUACUUGGUGUGGGCCAUUCAUUUGGUCUGUGCCGGAGCUAACGCGUUAAGUAUGCCGCCUGGGGAGUACGGCCGCAAGGUUAAAACUCAAAGAAAUUGACGGGGGCCCGCACAAGCGGUGGAGCAUGUGGUUUAAUUCGAAGCAACGCGCAGAACCUUACCCACCUUUGACAUCCCGUGCUAUCUAGAGAGAUCUAGAGUCCCUUCGGGGCGCGGAGACAGGUGCUGCAUGGCUGUCGUCAGCUCGUGUCGUGAGAUGUUGGGUUAAGUCCCGCAACGAGCGCAACCCUCGCUUCUAGUUGCCAGCAUUUAGUUGGGCACUCUAGAGGAACUGCCUGCGCCAAGCAGGAGGAAGGCGGGGAUGACGUCAAGUCCUCAUGGCCCUUACAGGUGGGGCUACACACGUGCUACAAUGGCGGUGACAAAGGGAUAAUCCCUAAAAGCCGUCUCAGUUCGGAUUGUCCUCUGCAACUCGAGGGCAUGAAGUUGGAAUCGCUAGUAAUCGCGGAUCAGCACGCCGCGGUGAAUACGUUCCCGGGCCUUGUACACACCGCCCGUCACACCAUGGGAGUUGGUUCUACCUGAAGACGGUUUCCCAACCGCAAGGAGGGGACCGGCCACGGUAGGGUCAGCGACUGGGGUGAAG